AUAUAUUCCCAUCUCCUGCUAGCAGGACCAAGAUGUCGGAGGGCGAGCGGCCAUUCGAAAACGCACAGGACGACGGCAAUGAUGACGGAGAUGAUGUGCUUAGCAUGGAGGAGGAGCUGUGCUUAAGACUUGACACUAUGAGGGACUUUUUCCUCCAGCAGCUGAAGGCCAUAAGAUACUCGCUGUUUUCAUCUCAGACCAAGGUGCACAAGGAUUUAAAAGCCUUCAAGGAGUCCAUCUUGACGGAGGAGCUGAAUUUCUACAGAGAGAGGCUAGAGGCAAAGGUAACAUCUGACUUCCAGCUGCUGGAGGAAAACUGCAAUUCUGCUAAACGUGAUGUUGUUGAAAUGGUGAAGGCCGUUGGGGAAUCUGUGACCAAGAGGAUGGAUGCGGUGGACAGGAUAUUCCUGGCUUCGAGGAUCACUGCAAUGGAAGCGGAGGUCCGCAACACGGUGCCUUCUUUUGAAGCGAGCACGCCGACACGCCGUGCUCAUGGCCUUUUGAGCAGAGCUGAAGCACUUUCCUCCACCCAGGUGACAGAUGUGGGACAAGACACGGAGAUCUUCCUGGACCUUCAGAGUGUGGCUUCUUCAUCUCCGAUCAGCCCUGGUCAGCGUGCGGUGUUGACCACAGCAACGUCCUUUGAAUCCAGCUCUGACCAGAACCCAGAACGAGAUGAAGCACUUUCCUCCACCCAGGUGACAGAUGUGGGACGCGACACUGAGAUCUUCCUGGACCUUCAGAGUGCGGCCUCUCCGUCUCAGAUUGGCCCGAGUCAGCUUGCGGUGUUGACCACAACAACGUCCUUUGAAUCCAGCUCUGACCAGAACCCAGAACGAGAUGAAGCACUUUCCUCCACCCA
Long non-coding RNA from Cyprinus carpio carpio, 862 nucleotides. NCBI's taxonomy places the organism in Eukaryota, Metazoa, Chordata, Actinopteri, Cypriniformes, Cyprinidae. The record is from Ensembl.